RNAcentral lists this long non-coding RNA (814 nucleotides) under Triticum aestivum (bread wheat). Its description in RNAcentral is "long non-coding RNA (TAES_LNC014821)". Lineage: Eukaryota; Viridiplantae; Streptophyta; Magnoliopsida; Poales; Poaceae. The record is from RNAcentral.
CAUAUUUCUCAAUCUAACGCUUGAUGUAUCCAAAUGGUCAGUGUGCUAGCCGGUAUCAGGCAAAACUGGAUCUUAAAAACAACUAUAUCUAAAGGAAAUCAUUUACAACACCCACUAUCAUUGUUUAAUUCAAGCUAUAAUAAAACAAAAUCACAAAAUACAAAUCAAACUGACAUCAAAUUAGCAUAGGUACUUCCCCAAGCCAUAGCACUAAACUUUAAGAAGCAAUGUGUCAUCCUCAGUCAGCUACACGUACAUACAUGCACCAUCAGCACCUCAAUCAUGCAUUAGCGCUAAUCCAGUCAGAAACAAGAGCACAAUACUUCCAUCUCCGUUCGAUGCUCAAUUGGUAGCUCGCAGACAAGUUGGCACCUAUUAAGUUAUGAAAUAGCAAGUCUUAUUUCUUUAAUAAUCACAACAUUCAGAUUAUGGGUGUGAGAUGUUAGAUGAUAAUACUAUUUCCUUUUAAAUUUUAAGGAAAUAUAUGAAUUAGAAACAAUGCUAAAUAAAACACCAACGCUGGUAAUGAGUCUUUGAUACAUGAACAUGAAAUAUCCCAAGCCAUGCUAAACAAAACAUCAGCACUGGUAAUGAAAGUGAAAUCCUCUAGUGGAAAUGAAAACUAUAACACAGGAAGUAAGAUCAGAUUUCAACUUUAUCAAUCUAAAUAGUGAAGUUUACUUUAAUGACCUCAACAGUCAAGAUCCCCUCUUCCAGUAUCCUUGAAACAAAAACAUAAAACUACUUUUGACUUUGUACUGCAUGAAAAUGGGAUCACAAAGGCAGAGGAGGAAAUAAUAUAAGACUCAUUAAC